AUCGCCUCUUGCAUUCCAAAGUAUAAGAGGUCCCACCUGCCCUGUGACUCUAAGUUUAACGGCCGCGGUAUUCUAACCGUGCGAAGGUAGCGCAAUCAAUUGCCUUUUAAAUGAAGGCCUGUAUGAAUGGUAUAACGAGGGUCUAGCUGUCUCUUUUUUCUAGUCAGUUAAACUGAUCUGUCCGUGCAGAAGCGGACAUAAAUAUACAAGACGAGAAGACCCUAUGGAGCUUUAGACACUAGCCAACUGUGAAUGAGCGACUGAACUGAACAAGUCCUAAAUUCCCGCAGCCUUAUGGUGAUGUAGUCUUAGGUUGGGGCGACCACGGGAGAAAAUAAAGCUCCCAAGCAGACCGGGAAAACCCUUAAGCCGAGAGUUGCAACUCUAAGCCGCAAAAUUUUUGACUGAAAUGAUCCGGUUGAAAAACCGAUUAACGAACCAAGUUACCCUAGGGAUAACAGCGCAAUCCUCUCCCAGAGUCCCUAUCGACGAGGGGGUUUACG
Molecule: ribosomal RNA, 503 nt
Filed under: Engraulis encrasicolus (European anchovy)
Lineage: Eukaryota; Metazoa; Chordata; Actinopteri; Clupeiformes; Engraulidae
Description: partial 16S ribosomal RNA
Rfam family: Bacterial large subunit ribosomal RNA
Source: RNAcentral